AUACGUAGGGCGCAAGCGUUGUCCGGAAUUAUUGGGCGUAAAGAGCUCGUAGGCGGCUUGUCGCGUCGGUUGUGAAAGCCCGGGGCUUAACUCCGGGUCUGCAGUCGAUACGGGCAGGCUAGAGUUCGGUAGGGGAGAUCGGAAUUCCUGGUGUAGCGGUGAAAUGCGCAGAUAUCAGGAGGAACACCGGUGGCGAAGGCGGAUCUCUGGGCCGAUACUGACGCUGAGGAGCGAAAGCGUGGGUAGCGAACAGGAUUAGAUACCCUGGUAGUCCACGCCGUAAACGGUGGGCACUAGGUGUGGGCAGCAUUCCACGUUGUCCGUGCCGUAGCUAACGCAUUAAGUGCCCCGCCUGGGGAGUACGGCCGCAAGGCUAAA
RNAcentral lists this ribosomal RNA (378 nucleotides) under uncultured bacterium. RNAcentral describes it as "bacterial SSU rRNA". It matches the Rfam family "Bacterial small subunit ribosomal RNA", at positions 523 to 898 of the family's 1533-position model. The record is from RNAcentral.